This 442-nucleotide unclassified non-coding RNA is filed under the name Gaertnera phyllostachya. RNAcentral's name for it is "partial external transcribed spacer". The record is from RNAcentral. Lineage: Eukaryota; Viridiplantae; Streptophyta; Magnoliopsida; Gentianales; Rubiaceae.
UUGCAGGAUCAACCAGGUAGCAUUCCUCACGGACGUCGGGUCGCAAGGCGCCAAUCGCCAGUGCGACGCCCACGGUCGUUCGAACGUGGCGUGUGCCGCCGUUUCGUGGGCGAUCAGAGGCCGGGGGCCUCGUGCCCGCAACGUUUUCCGCAUCCCACAGAGAACGGGCGAGGACUCGUGCGCCACGGCACCCGACGCGAGGCGUGGGCAGCGUGGAGCACGGGAGCCGCCUUAAGGUUCACCCGAAGCCGCACCGUGCAAACGGGCAGCGCUAGCCGAACGGGACAACGAUAGGCCAACGAGAAUUCCGUUGGUGUAGGUACGCAACACAGGAAACCGACGGGCACGGCCAAGGCUAACAACGCUCUUGGGCCAACGAAUGAGGAGGAACGCACGGUGGGACGUCGAUGCCCAAGCAAGGAUCCAACCAACCCAUACAAGA